GCUCUUUUGUUAUCUGAUCUGUUUUAUAUUAUUAUGAAGCAGAAUUUAUUCCAAAACGUCUACGUGAGAAGUAAAACUAUCUUGCUGUUACCUCAGAGUCGUCCACUUCUGCUCCAUACUUAAAUAUGUUCUUGAAAAUAUACACAUGUAUUAACGUUAAACUAACAACACAACUUUAUGAUACACGGGGUGAACUCAGCUUGGCAAUUGUCAACUUCCUAUAUUUAUGUAGCAAUAUUCUAUUUUCACCUGGAUAUGGUGUUUAUGUGACUCAGCUGAUUCAAUAUGCAAGAGUUUGUUCUGAAUAUAAUCAGUUAUUGCAUCGAGGCAGGUUACUAACAAACAAGUUGAUGGUGCAGGGGUUUCAACAGUCUCGAUUAAAGGCAGCAUUUCGAAAAUUCUAUGUUGGUUAUAGCGAUCUAUCUUGCCUAUACAACCUGUCAUUGGUUGACGAGUUUCAUACUAAUUGUUAAACCGUUUUCUGCACAUUGAUUCUGACUAUGGAUAACUCCGUCUACCUGAUCAAAAUAUAGGGCUCUUGACGGGUUUGACCGGUCGACAGGGUAUAUUUACUUCUCCUGUGGACUUGAUCCUACCUCUGGUAUAUCCAGGGGUCCGUGUUUGCUCAACUCUUUAUUUUGUAUUGCUCAUAGGAAUCAUGAGAGUGGUCACUGUUCGUUAUCUUCACCUUUCUUCAGGCACCCUGGAGGAAUAAGUAUUCCCUGUUAACAGGUCACACCCAUUUCAAGACCUUUAUCUUUAUCAGGUGAUGUAGCUUAAAACGAUUUCAAUACUGCGGAUAGCUCCGUUUACCUGAUCAGGAUAUAGGGCUCAUGGCGGGUGUGACCGGUCAACAGGGGAUGCUUACUCCUCUUAGGCACCUGAUGCCACUUCUGGUGUGUCCAGAGGUCCGUGUUUGCCCAACUAUCUAUUUGUAUUGCUUGUAGGAGUUAUGAGAUUGAUCACUGUUCGUUAUCUUCACCUUGCACUCAUGCACUCUGAUCAUUAUCAAUGUCAAGAGCUCUUUGUUCUAUUUCAAAUCAUUGCAUAAUGUCAUUUUCGUCAUACAACUCUGAGGUAUUUUGGUAACAAAUCAUUCUGGUUAUAAAACAUAUCAUUUUUAGAAUAUAUUUAUAUGUCAUCUUCAGUUAUUUAUCAAUUGUAUUCACUGUUGUAUUAUCUAACAUUCAUUUGAAACAACAACCAGCACGUCCACACUGUGUCGGAAUUUCAGUUUUACCGGAUCAGAUAUCUUAAAGCAAAACAACAAGGCCUUGGAAUGUUACAGAUAAUUGACAGGGGAUACAAUUAUGAUUAUAAGAACAGAUUAUGGACCAAUGAGGCUGUUUGAGUUGUAUCCCAUAAGUAAAUAUGAUUGGAUAUGUAUAAUUCAUUAAUGCUUUGCCAGCAAUUGAUUAUCCAUUCUAUAUUAUCAUAUUGAUAUUUAUCAAUCUAAGUAUUGUGAAAUGUAAAAUACAUUUUAACUUGACCAAAAAGCAUAGAAAAACAGGUUGAGUCACACAAAUAUAAAUAAAACUAUAUAUGUCGAUAGUUUAUUUCAAAUAAUGGUAGGGAAACUUAUCUCAGCAAAAUCAUUUUGAUUAUGAGAGAUAUGAUUCUGACUCCAGUUACCACUAUUUCAAGACCAUGUAUCAAUGGAAAUAUUCUUCGAUUGAAAACAAGCAUCAAAUUAUUGCCUGUCUUACUGUACUUUUAGUUUGUCCCGCAAACCACUACGGACCAAACUGCGCUAAAUGCAAAGCGGAGUGUAUACCCUGUAAUCCUAUCACUGGUGUAUGUUUCAACUCCACGUGUGAUCAGAAAACAGGUAGAUGUGGGAAUUGGAAAACAGAAAUGGUUACACACAGCACCGCCUCUUACGAAGACACACCUAUUACUAAAGAAACAGACGUCAUUCAAGAAUUCUCACCAGGAACUUGUGAUCGUUCUUGUAUCGCCUGCAUUCCAGCGGUUGAAGUCUGCCUAUUCUGUACCAUGUAUCAGCUGUCUUACAGAUGUCAGUAUAAAUGCCAAGAUAUUUGCUCUGGAGACACUUGUAAUGACAAGGAGGAAACCUGCACAAGGAACAUUGUGGAGAAGAAUGGCUUUCUCGAUUGCAGUUUAUCGAUGAAUGACUGUACCAUUAGUUGAUUAGAUACAACAAACAUGAACACGUUUUCAAAACAUAUCAAGGUUUGGGUAACGGGAUGAUAUAGGAAUAGAAAUAUUUUCUGGAGUUUUAUAAUACAUUGUACUUUAUUUCCUUGUAGGAUAUUUUUUCGAACUUUUAAGAUUCACUUAUACUUAUAACACUCCUUUAGUGUGCAAUGAUUUGAAUACGUAAGGAAUCCCGGUACUUUCCGUAGUUUAUUCCUGACAUUGAACAAUUCCUGGUGGUUCCUAGAAGUAAACCAUGGAUAUGAGGUAUUUAGCUAUUCUUCACAUGAAAAACAUGCUUUGAUUAAAGUAGUGAAACAAACAGAUAUUGUGAUACUCGAACAUAUGCAUGUAUGGUUAUAUACUAGUAUAUUAUUAUUUCUUUUUACGACGACUGCAAUGGAAAAUCACUGAGCCAUCCAAUACUUGUGUACGAUUGGUUCAAGUUUCAAAUUGUUUCAAUUGCUUACGAAGAUGUCCCGGUCCAAAAAGCGUCGGGAGGCUAUAACAAUCCCGAAAGAUUUCAACAAAGAAAGAAAUUACACAGCUGUACAUGUUAGCUUAUUCUAGAGAAAAAAAUUGCAUUCACAGAAACAGAAUUAACUCGCUCAUCUGGUAGACUGACGUCACAAGGAUCGUCAUGUUGACCAAUCCGUUCGAACGAGAUAGGGUAACUGAGUUUUAUAACUUGAUAUGGGAUGAAGUGUCUCAAGUACUCGCCAAAACAAGGGAGUGGACAUCGGUUCUCAGACAAUCAGAAUGGAUGUGUAUGAGGACUACGUGCUGAUACAUGGUUGUCCAAUGACACGUGUCUCUAUCUUUCUCAGCACUGAAUCUACAACAUACAGCGAAUUUUAUCAUAAAUAACACUCUAAAGAACUUCAUCAUCAUUCGUUACUAUUGCAACCGUGUAGGAAAUCAAUAUGCAAAACUUUACGAUCGAACUAAAUAAGGCAUCUGCAGCAAGACCACAUGUUGCUCGUGUAGUCAAGGGCUUUUUUGUUCAACAGAAUGUUGAUGUCUGCACUUGGUCAGCUGUUUCCCCGAUUUAUCGCCGAUCGAGCACGUCUGAGAUGAAAUGGAACGACGUCUACGCCGUUUACCAAAUCAGCCAGUGACAUUGGCUGAUUUAGGCCAGGCUUUAACCAAUAUUUGGGACAACAUUCCUCAAGCAUUUCUGAACACGUUAGUGGCAUAAAUGGGGCGCUGUUGUUAAGCAUGCGUGAAGGCAAAUGGUGGUCACACGCGUUAUCAACUUUGUUCAUUCACGUUCUUUCGAGUGUGUUGAAAUUGGCGUUAUUCGACAUUAACAUUAAUGAAUUAUGAGAUGUUGUAACGAAUACAUUUGUUAACAGUAUUACAAAAAAUAAAAUUGGUUCAUUG
Ostrea edulis (European flat oyster) is the source of this 3540-nucleotide long non-coding RNA. RefSeq lists it as uncharacterized. The transcript is spliced from 6 exons. The record is from RefSeq and is a predicted model, not a curated record. Lineage: Eukaryota; Metazoa; Mollusca; Bivalvia; Ostreida; Ostreidae.